Molecule: unclassified non-coding RNA, 391 nt
Filed under: soil metagenome
Description: partial contains 5.8S ribosomal RNA, internal transcribed spacer 2, and large subunit ribosomal RNA
Rfam family: 5.8S ribosomal RNA (bases 1-122)
Source: RNAcentral
GAUGAAGAACGUAGCGAAAUGCGAUACUUGGUGUGAAUUGCAGAAUCCCGUGAACCAUCGAGUCUUUGAACGCAAGUUGCGCCCGAAGCCAUUAGGCCGAGGGCACGCCUGCCUGGGCGUCACACGUCGUUGCCCCCCCAUCUACUCCUUCGGGAUUGCGGGGGGCGGAUGAUGGCCUCUCGUGCGCCUCGUCGCGCGGUUGGCCUAAAUGCCAAGUCCUCGGCGACGCACGCCACGACAAUCGGUGGUUGCGAAACCUCGGUUGCCUGUCGUGUGCGGUCGUCGCGCAUCGAGGGCUCGAAAAAAUUGCCGGGCUUCGGCUCGACUUUCAACGCGACCCUAGGUCAGGCGGGGUUACCCGCUGAAUUUAAGCAUAUCAAUAAGCGGAGGA